This is a long non-coding RNA of Haliotis rubra (blacklip abalone), 196 nucleotides long. RefSeq lists it as uncharacterized. Lineage: Eukaryota; Metazoa; Mollusca; Gastropoda; Lepetellida; Haliotidae. The transcript has 4 exons. The record is from RefSeq and is a predicted model, not a curated record.
CAUUGGCUAUGAUCAAAGUUAAGUUUGAGCUAUUAACGUUUCAUGAAUAAGGGUCAUGGCUAGCUAUUCUCGAAGCGUUCGUAGCCCUACGAACUUCUUAAGCCCAUACUUAACACAUUGGCUACGAUCAAAGUUAAGAAUUCCUAGGGCUACGCACGUUUCAAGAAUAAGAGCCCUGUUUCUUUUCAUUGUUUAA